RNAcentral lists this long non-coding RNA (945 nucleotides) under Castor canadensis (American beaver). RNAcentral describes it as "lncRNA (ENSCCNG00000020727.1)". Lineage: Eukaryota; Metazoa; Chordata; Mammalia; Rodentia; Castoridae. The record is from RNAcentral.
GUAACAGAUUUGAUACAGAAAACCUUUUGACAUAUGUUUUGCUUUAUUUGUACCCCACAACGUUCACGGUUCAUCGCGGGGAAUGUAUCGUAGGGAAAGACACCAGGAAAGAGAGGGAAAAUGAUGGUACUGGGCACGAAAUUAAUGAAACCUGGGGCAGAGUUCCAGCCACGUUUCUCAGGUAGACAGUGUUAACUGCACAGGAUACCCAGUCCUAUUACAGUUUUCAGAAAUGAGUUAGGAAGCUGGAGUUUCCCUUAGCAAGACAGGGCAUUUCCGAGCAUACCAUUCUUUUUCCCUUGAACUUGUCACAUUUACUGACAUGUUUAGAGACCUCUUGAGGUACUUAGAGAGUAAAGUAUCUAAGUCCUCUGUGGGGGUGUUAACCAGUCUUUGUUUGCUUCCCUGAAGCCGAGAUUGGAUAUGAGGAGUUUCUCACCAAUCCAUAUCGUAAAGUGGACCACAAAGGAGGAAGAACAGCGCAAGAGAUUCAACAGCCAGAUGGGAAUGAAGGAUUCACUAUUUUAUGGAAUUCGGAAAAACAACAACAUUAUCUGGAAGCGAUGAACAGAAUUCUUCAGAAUAAUGACAUUUCGGAGGAGAAGUGGGUUAAAGAAGCGUCUGUUUUCAACAGGAAUUUAAGACAACAAUUGACUGCUAAAGAUAAAGAAACACCUAAAAACGCCCUUAAUCCAGAUUUCCCAAGAAAGAGUCCGCUGUGCAGGGUGAUGCUUCAGUUCCUGCAGAAGAACAUCAUCAUCGCUGCCAUCACGAUGACGGCAAUCAUUGUGAUCAUGGUGCUAGUGCUGCUCUUCCCUGUGUACAUGAGGAGGAAACAGGCAUUGUGAGUGGCUCUUUGCAUUCACCUCCCUUCCAAGACCUUCGAGGUGUUUGGACCAAUGUUGUCUCAGACCUUUCUGCAGAUCCCAGAUUUAGGAAGAGGGC